Molecule: ribosomal RNA, 750 nt
Filed under: uncultured bacterium
Lineage: Bacteria
Description: bacterial SSU rRNA
Rfam family: Bacterial small subunit ribosomal RNA
Source: RNAcentral
CAGGCCUAACACAUGCAAGUCGAGCGCUUGGGGUGUUCCCUUACGGGAAACCCCCUGGAGCGGCGGACGGGUGAGUAACACGUAGGCAACCUGCCUGUAAGAUCGGGAUAACUACCGGAAACGGUAGCUAAGACCGGAUAGCUGGUUUCUCCGCAUGGAGGGAUCAUGAAACAUGGGGCAACCUAUGGCUUACGGAUGGGCCUGCGGCGCAUUAGCUAGUUGGUGGGGUAACGGCCCACCAAGGCGACGAUGCGUAGCCGACCUGAGAGGGUGAUCGGCCACACUGGGACUGAGACACGGCCCAGACUCCUACGGGAGGCAGCAGUAGGGAAUCCUCCGCAAUGGGCGCAAGCCUGACGGAGCAACGCCGCGUGAGUGAUGAAGGUUUUCGGAUCGUAAAGCUCUGUUGCCAAGGAAGAACGCCUCGGAGAGUAACUGCUCUGAGGGUGACGGUACUUGAGAAGAAAGCCCCGGCUAACUACGUGCCAGCAGCCGCGGUAAUACGUAGGGGGCAAGCGUUGUCCGGAAUUAUUGGGCGUAAAGCGCGCGCAGGCGGUCUUUUAAGUUUGGUGUUUAAGCCCGGGGCUCAACCCCGGUUCGCACUGAAAACUGGGAGACUUGAGUGCAGGAGAGGAAAGCGGAAUUCCACGUGUAGCGGUGAAAUGCGUAGAGAUGUGGAGGAACACCAGUGGCGAAGGCGGCUUUCUGGACUGUAACUGACGCUGAGGCGCGAAAGCGUGGGGAGCAAAC